Molecule: ribosomal RNA, 253 nt
Filed under: uncultured bacterium
Lineage: Bacteria
Description: partial 16S ribosomal RNA
Rfam family: Bacterial small subunit ribosomal RNA
Source: RNAcentral
UACGGGGGGAGCUAGCGUUAUUCGGAAUCAUUGGGCGUAAAGGGCGCGUAGGCGGUCUUUUAAGUCAGAUGUGAAAGCCCUCGGCUUAACCGAGGAAGUGCAUUUGAUACUAAGAGACUUGAGUAUGGGAGAGGGAAGCGGAAUUCCUGGUGUAGCGGUGAAAUGCGUAGAUAUCAGGAGGAACACCGGUGGCGAAGGAGGCUUCCUGGACCAAUACUGACGAUGAGGCGCGAAGGCGUGGGGAGCAAACAGG